AGUGAACGCUGGCGGCAUGCCUUACACAUGCAAGUCGAACGGUAACGCGGGGCAACCUGGCGACGAGUGGCGAACGGGUGAGUAAAGUAUCGGAACGUGCCCCAAUAGUGGGGGAUAGCCCCGGCGAAAGCCGGAUUAAUACCGCAUGAGACCUGAGGGUGAAAGCGGGGGACUCGCAAGAGCCUCGCGCUGUUGGAGCGGCCGAUAUCAGGAUUAGGGUAGUUGGUGGGGUAAAGGCCUACCAAGCCGACGAUCUGUAGCUGGUCUGAGAGGACGACCAGCCACACUGGGACUGAGACACGGCCCAGACUCCUACGGGAGGCAGCAGUGGGGAAUUUUGGACAAUGGGCGCAAGCCUGAUCCAGCCAUGCCGCGUGCGGGAAGAAGGCCUCGGUGUAACGCUUUAGUCAGGAGAAGUACUUCGUAGCGUAAUACCUACGGGGGAGUGGACGGUACCUCGAGAAUAAGCACCGGCUAACUACGUAG
This 486-nucleotide ribosomal RNA is filed under the name uncultured bacterium. RNAcentral describes it as "bacterial SSU rRNA". It matches the Rfam family "Bacterial small subunit ribosomal RNA", at positions 30 to 508 of the family's 1533-position model. The record is from RNAcentral.